Ipomoea nil (Japanese morning glory) is the source of this 3759-nucleotide RNA transcript. It is a transcript of the gene named E3 ubiquitin-protein ligase UPL7, with no coding region annotated. The transcript is spliced from 14 exons. Lineage: Eukaryota; Viridiplantae; Streptophyta; Magnoliopsida; Solanales; Convolvulaceae. The record is from RefSeq and is a predicted model, not a curated record.
GUCUUGCCGUGUUUGUAUCGUAUCGUAUCUUAUCGCGGAUUCGCGGCCCCGAUAAUAACUCUUUCCGUCAACUGUCCUCUCAAAUCACAAUCCGCCAUGGACGAACCUCGAAAGCAUCAGGUCUCGUUGCGAGGAGCGAGCGUGAAGGAGAUUUCCAGGGAUGCGCUUCUCGAGAAGGUGUCGCACCAGAGAGAGUUUAGGAGUUAUAUUCGAAAAUCCACUGCGGCUGCAGUGUUUAUUCAGAGAGUUUGGCGGCGAUACUCUGCCACAAAGUUGAUAGCCCUACAACUUCAGAAUCAGUGGGAGAUAUUGAUGGAUAAUCUUGCUGUUCCUUUAACUAAAAUACAGAUAUCUGGCAGUAUUUUGAGGCCUUUUAUUUUCUUCAUGUCAUUCUUGUUGAAUCGAGGGGCGAAAAAGCAAAAGAGAGACAAAGAUUGCAUGAAGACUUGCUUCAGAGUUGUUUUGGAAAGCAUAAACUCGACUAAUCUGGAUGAAAACUUUUGCUCCAUGGCAUUUGGAAAUGUUGAAGAAAGAAGAGUUUGGACUUACCAAUCAAAGAAGCUGAUUUCCCUUUGCUUGUUGGUUCUAGCAGAAUUUGAUAACUCCCGCCUAGGGGGUGAAGACAUUUUUGUUACAUCAUUAGCACUGCGUUUGGCAGUUGUUUUGACUGAUCUUAAAGGUUGGAAAUGCAUUAUUGAUGCUAAUAUCCAGGCUGCAAAUAUGUCAAUAAGAGACUUAGUUCAUUUCAUGGGAAGCAAGAAAAGUUGUUUGUACAGUUCUGUACGGAGAUACAUUUGUAAACUUCAAACGCCUGUUUCUUCUCAAGUGACUAGUUCUGGCCAGGCAGAUGAUCGAUUCUUGAUCAUUGCUAGUGCUACAACUUUGGCUUUGCGGCCAUUUCAUGUUGCAGGCUUAGUUGUAAACACUAAUUGCUUAGAGGAAGUGCAGAACGCUGCCGAGCAGUUUUGUAUUUUUCUACUUACAAUUCCUUGGUUUGCUCAAAAGUUACCGGCAGUGCUAAUACCAGCUCUGAGACAUAUGUCUGUUUUGUCAGCUUGUUUAAGGGUUCUGCUGAUGUCAAGGGAGGGAAUCUUAAAAGAAAUGUCUUGUGCUGUUAAGAUGACAACUACCCACCAAAACAGGGUGAUGCCACAGGUUGGUUGGGCUCUGUCAAACAUUAUAUACCUUGCUACUAUGUGUGAGAAGAAUGCAUUGGAUUCUGGAAAGUUUGCCCCUGGCUUAGACCAUGCAUCCUAUGUACAUGUUGUGAUUGCUCUGGCAGAGGACCUAUUGGCUUGGUUUGAAAAGGUUGGAUGGCUAAGAAAGGACCAAGAAGUCCUGGAUGAUUGUGGUACUUCUGCUGAAUCCCUUGAUAACUUUUUGCAUGAGGCUGAGACAACUGCUGGAUCCCUAAAGAUGUCAUAUUCGGACCUUCUUAAGCCUGUUUGUCAGCAGGGGCAUCUGAUGAAACUUGUAUCAUUUAACAAAGAUACUUUUGUUAAGAAGGAUGAUAAUCUGCCAGCAAUCAGCAUGGAGUCCCCUAGAUGUUGUGAAUUGCUUGAUGUUGCUUAUUAUUACUCAUGCAUGCUUAGAAUAUAUUCAGCUGUGAAUACAGUGCAUGGAGCAUUGCCAGUUCUGAAUAUGCUAUCUUUUACUCCUGGAUUUCUUUCUAAUUUGUGGGGUGCUCUAGAAAAACAAAUUUUCCCUGGAAAAGAUUAUGUUGCUGAGAGUGGUUCAAAUCAAAAUAAAGUUGGUGAAAGCAAUUUUCAUGAAGUGUCUACAGGAAAGCAAAAACAUUUUGCUAAAGACAGUGGCAGCAAAUGGGUUGAUGUAAUUCAGAAAAUCACAGGAAAAUCACAAACAGAAUCAAAAACUGCAACCAUGGCUGAUGGAAUUUCUGGUUCUAACUCAAUUGGUGAGCAUUGUUCUGAUAUCUGGGAUAUUGAACCACUAAGGAAGGGUCCUGAUGGCAUAUCAAAAGAUACUAAUUGUCUGCUUCAUCUCUUCUGUGCCAGCUAUUCACACCUGCUCUUAGUUCUUGAUGACAUUGAGUUUUAUGAGAGACAGGUCCCUUUUGUAUUGGAGCAGCAACGCAAAAUUGUGUCAGUUCUUAACACAUUGGUGUACAAUGCCUUGUCCCUCAAUAUUGGUGCUCAAAAUAGGCCACUAAUGGAUUUUGCUGUCAAAUGCCUGCAUUUGUUAUAUGAAAGAGAUUGCAGGCACCAGUUUUGUCCACCUGCUUUGUGGCUUUCACCAGGUAGAACAAAUCGCCCUCCAAUUGCUGUAGCUGCUAGGACUCAUGAUGUUUUGGCAGCUACAACAAAUGAUGUUUCAGCCUCUCUGACAAUUGAUUCUGUGAUUACAACUACACCACAUGUCUUCCCAUUUGAAGAGAGGGUUGAAAUGUUUAGAGAAUUUAUCAACAUGGAUAAAGUGUCUAGAAGAAUGGCUGGUGAGGUUGUAGGUCCAGGUCCACACUCAGUAGAAAUUGUUAUUCGCCGUGGUCAUGUUUUUGAAGAUGGAUUUCAACAAAUAAACAGCCUUGGGUCCAGACUAAAAUCUAACAUCCAUGUUUCUUUUGUAAAUGAAUCUGGUCUUCCUGAGGCUGGCUUGGACUAUGGUGGGUUAUCUAAGGAAUUCUUGACUGAAAUAGCAAAAGCAGCAUUCUCACCUGAGUGUGGUUUAUUCAUCCAGACUUCAACCUCAGACCGGCUUCUAAUUCCUAAUUCAGCUGCAAGGUUUUUAGAAAAUGGUUUCCAGAUGAUUGAGUUUCUGGGAAAAAUUGUUGGCAAGGCACUUUAUGAAGGAAUAUUGUUGGACUAUUCCUUUUCACAUGUUUUUGUGCAGAAGUUAUUGGGCCGUUAUAGCUUUCUUGAUGAAUUAUCAACACUUGACCCUGUUCUAUACAGAAAUCUCAUGUAUGUUAAGUCCAGCAUUAUGAGGGUGAUGCCAGAGAGCUCUCAUUGGAUUUCACAGUUACAGAAGAAUCACUUGGAAAGAGGCAUGUUAUUGAGCUUAAACCUGGAGGCAAGGAUGCCAGUGUGACAAAUGAUAACAAGCUGCAAUACAUUUAUGCAAUUGCAGACUAUAAACUUAAUCGGCAGAUACUUCCAUUCUCAAAUGCAUUUUACAGAGGAUUGACUGAAGUAAUAUCCCCCUCUUGGUUAAAGUUAUUCAAUGCAAGUGAAUUUAAUCAGUUGCUUUCAGGGGGAAACCACGAUAUUGAUGUUGAUGAUUUAAGGAAAAACACGCGGUAUACUGGGGGUUAUAGUGAAAGUAGUCGAGCAGUGAAACUUUUUUGGGAGGUUUUUGCAAAUUUUGAAGCAAGAGAACGGUGUUUGCUCCUUAAGUUUGUGACAAGUUGUUCUCGAGCCCCUUUGCUUGGGUUCAAAUAUUUGCAGCCAACCUUCACUAUUCAUAAGGUUUCAUGUGAUGUACCACUAUUGGCAGUACUUGGAGGACAGGAUGUUGAUCGGCUUCCAUCAGCUUCUACAUGCUAUAAUACAUUGAAGCUUCCAACAUACAAACGGUCGAGCACCUUGAGAGCAAAGCUUCUUUAUGCCAUCAAUUCAAAUGCUGGGUUUGAGCUUUCAUAGAAGGAAGAUGUUUUCAUUUCUUGUGGCUUUCUUUCUAUACACUACACAUAAUGUAUUUUUACCCGAGUGAUUGCCUGUUUUAUGUUUAUGUAUUAAUCAAAUAGCGGCCUGUCAUUAUCCAAAAUGCUUCUGUUUAAUCAAAAAGUUAUGUAUUUUUCUUAUA